CCCUACGGGGGGCAGCAGUGGGGAAUAUUGCACAAUGGGGGGAACCCUGAUGCAGCAAUGCCGCGUGGGUGAAGAAGCACUCCGGUGCGUAAAGCCCUGUCAGCAGGGAAGAAAAUGACAGUACCUGGACAAGAAGCCCCGGCUAACUACGUGCCAGCAGCCGCGGUAAUACGUAGGGGGCAAGCGUUAUCCGGAUUUACUGGGUGUAAAGGGAGCGUAGGCGGCUGUACAAGUCUGAAGUGAAAGCCCGUGGCUCAACCGCGGAACUGCUUUGGAAACUGUAAAGCUGGAGUACUGGAGAGGCG
This 305-nucleotide ribosomal RNA is filed under the name uncultured bacterium. RNAcentral's name for it is "bacterial SSU rRNA". It matches the Rfam family "Bacterial small subunit ribosomal RNA", at positions 337 to 659 of the family's 1533-position model. The record is from RNAcentral.